Tachysurus vachellii is the source of this 559-nucleotide long non-coding RNA. RefSeq lists it as uncharacterized. The transcript is spliced from 3 exons. Lineage: Eukaryota; Metazoa; Chordata; Actinopteri; Siluriformes; Bagridae. The record is from RefSeq and is a predicted model, not a curated record.
AAUGAUUCAUUAAGUCUUGAUUCUUUUUUUAUCGAAUGGACACCAAAUAGAAUCACAAGAAUCAUCUAAGAUGGGACCUACAUAUGGAAGAAGGAUGAUAAAGGGGUAUCUUGCCAUGAAAGGAGUGCAUGCUGCAGAGACUCGAAUUGGAACAGUGCGUAGAACUAUGCAUCAGUCUUACCAUGAAGCAAGACGUCAGGGUGCCCGCAAUCUCAACCCCAUACCAUAUUAAGCUUACAUGGGCCAUAAGAUCCAUAUGGACCAAAACGAAAAACUGGCUAUGUUUGGGGUCACCCAUGUUUUAGCCAUUGAUGGCUUCAGCAAAAAGGUUGUUGCUCAUUCUACAAUGCCUAUAAAAAAACAAUCUUGCCGUCUAUGAAGAUGUUUUCAGGUAACAGCCUAUGUCUUGUAGUGGACACUAAAGGGAUUGCAUACACACGGCUAAGAAUGUGACUAAACUGUUGAACACCUACAUUGUUAUGAACCAUAUUAUACAGAAAAUAACUGAUUUGGAACAGUUACGUUUAAAAAGUUUAUUAAAAUUGACUUUUUCAUCCAA